CCUACGGGUGGCAGCAGUGGGGAAUAUUGGGCAAUGGGCGCAAGCCUGACCCAGCAACGCCGCGUGAAGGAAGACGGCUUUCGGGUUGUAAACUUCUUUUCUCAGGGACGAAGAAAGUGACGGUACCUGAGGUCUAAGCCACGCCUAACUCUGUGCCAGCAGCCGCGGUAAUACGUAGGUGGCAAGAGUUCUCGGGAUUUAUUGGGUGUAAAGGGCGUGUAGGCGGGAGGGAAAGUCAGAUGUGAAAACUCAGGGCUCAACCCUGAGCCUGCAUUUGAUACUGUGUGUCUUGAGUGCUGGUGAGGCAGUCGGAAUGCCGUGUGUAGCGGUGAAAUGCGUAGAUAUACGGAGGAACACCAGUGGCGAAGGCGGAUUGCUGGACAGUAACUGACGCUGAGGCGCGAAAGCGUGGGGAGCAAACAGGAUUAGAUACCCCUGUAGUC
Molecule: ribosomal RNA, 443 nt
Filed under: uncultured bacterium
Lineage: Bacteria
Description: partial 16S ribosomal RNA
Rfam family: Bacterial small subunit ribosomal RNA
Source: RNAcentral